GCUUAAAGGGGCCGUAGCUGGCCGGGCAAAUCUCUGGGUAAAUCUGGCGGCUCAACCGUCCGAACUCCAGAGACACUGCUCGGCUUGAGAUCGGGAGAGGGAGAAGGUACUCCCUGGGUAGGGGUAAAAUCCUGUAAUCCGGGGGGGACCACCAGUGGCGAAGGCGUUCUCCUAGAACGAUUCUGACAGUGAGGGACGAAGCCCUAGGGCGCAAACGGGAUUAGAUACCCCGGUAGUCUAGGGUGUAAACGCUGCAGACUUGGUGUUGGAGGUCCUGCGUGGGCUUCCAGUGCCGGAGCGAAGGUGUUAAGUCUGCCGCUUGGGGAGUACGGUCGCAAGACUGAAACUUAAAGGAAUUGGCGGGAGAGCACCGCAACGGGAGGAGCGUGCGGUUCAAUUGGAUUCAACGCCGGAAAACUCACCGGGGGCGACGGAGGGAUGAAAGCCAGGCUGAAGACCUUGCCCGAUUCUCCGAGAGGUGGUGCAUGGCCGUCGUCAGUUCGUACCGUAAGGCGUUCUGUUAAGUCAGAUAACGAACGAGACCCUCGCCUUUAGUCGCAAUUUCGCGGGCGACCGCGAGAGCACACUAAAGGGAUCGCUGCCGCUAAGACAGAGGAAGGAGAGGUCUACGGUAGGUCCGCAUGCCCCUAA
Molecule: ribosomal RNA, 651 nt
Filed under: uncultured archaeon
Lineage: Archaea
Description: bacterial SSU rRNA
Rfam family: Archaeal small subunit ribosomal RNA
Source: RNAcentral